This 253-nucleotide ribosomal RNA is filed under the name uncultured bacterium. RNAcentral describes it as "partial 16S ribosomal RNA". It matches the Rfam family "Bacterial small subunit ribosomal RNA", at positions 524 to 776 of the family's 1533-position model. The record is from RNAcentral.
UACGUAGGUGGCAAGCGUUACUCGGAAUCACUAGGCGUAAAGCGCAGGUAGGCGGUUUGGUAAGUCUUUUGUGAAAGCUCCUGGCUCAACUGGGAGAGGUCAAAGGAAACUACCAGGCUAGAGUGUGGUAGGGGAUACUGGAAUUCCUGGUGUAGCGGUGAAAUGCGUAGAUAUCUGGAGGAACACCGGUGGCGAAGGCGGCAUCCUGGACCGACACUGACGCUGAGGAGCGAAAGCCAGGGGAGCAAACGGG